Long non-coding RNA from Taeniopygia guttata (zebra finch), 3608 nucleotides. The record is from Ensembl. Lineage: Eukaryota; Metazoa; Chordata; Aves; Passeriformes; Estrildidae.
AUGAUACGGCAGCCGCUCAGGCAGGCGGGGAGCAGCGCAGCCUGUAAUUUCCUGGUCAUAUGUAACUGGGUGGGGAAGCGCCUGAUCCUUGGGAAAGAAGAGAACAAAAAACUUUCUUGGCUGCAGCUAUCAGCUAAUUUUUGGUUGCUUUUGAAUGCCAAGGCCAGCAGGAUCCAGGAAUUCAUCUACUGGUGCCAGCAAGAAAGCACUGACCCAAACAAGGGAGCCAGAACUUGGACUGCAGUCCUUGCCAGGGAUCAGCAAGAGGCCAGAGAGACCAUGCUGCUGAGUCAUCACCGCUCCAGCUGCUACAAGCCUUUUCUGGGGACGCGGCUGUUGCUAAGAUUCCUGGGAGCUGACUGAUUGCUCCUUCUAUAGUCAUGUAACACACACGUACACGUCAAAGGAACAAGGAGCAGCAGCUGGGGCGAGCUCAGAGCGAGCACACAGCCUGCUGGCCGUGCGCAGCCGGGCUGGUGCCUGUGCAGGACUUGGGCCCCGUGGGAGCUGCAUUGCUGCUCGGGGCUUCUUUUGCAGGCACAGACCUACCUUGUUCCCUGGAAGCUCCCACUCAUGGAGGCGUUUCAAAAAUCAAACAGUCCAGGCAGUGAUUCUGUACAAAAUUUUCUUUCUGUUUGUACUUGCACGCUCCACCACAUACUUCCCCCCCCCCCCCCCCCGCCCCCACAUUUAGAGGUAGGGACAUGCUUAAAAUCUAUGAAGUGCAUUCCUUGGAGGGUCACUGUUGGGUCAUUCUCUUAAUGCAAUAAAUAAAUAUAUUCAAUCAGCAGGCAAGUAAAGUGAGCUCUUUCCAGUUCUGGGGCCCAGAGCUGAAACUGGUGAUAUUUCUUAUUAAGCCCUGUAAGGUUUCAGAGUAUUCUGCAGUUUCACGCACUGCACAGGAAGGGAAUGCUUGUUCAUGAGCAUCCUGCAUUUUCCUUCUCCCAGUUUAAUGUCUUAAAUUUUUUUUCUCCUGCCUUUUAUCUGCCUGAGGUACGUGCCUCCCUCAGAUGCUGCAGUUACCCUUGUUUCCUGAUCCACAUUUGACACUCAACAAACUACAUGUACUCAGGAUUUCAAAUCUCACGCUAUAUAAUCAUGCUUAGGUUGUUAAAGCCUAAGGGUAUAGGACCUGACAUAUUCUCUCUCUGACAUUAGAUACAUCACUGAUUUCAAAGGAAUAACUAAUCAUACUAACAUUUAAUAGUAAAACUUAUGAUUCCAGAGCCCAGUCUCCUUCCUUCCCUGUUGAGUGUUUGUUGACGUGCCAGACUCAGAAUUACAAAUUGCGAAAUGAAGAUGUAGAGCACUUGAGUUUUGUGGUCACUUUUUUUUCCAGUAGCACCUUGCAGUCCUACCCAUGGUCCAAGAUCACUAUAUACCAUAAUACUAAAAAAAGGCUCUCUGCCCCAAAGUGUUCACAGUCUAAUAAUAAAACAAGAGACCAACAGAGAGCAGAGACAGACAGGGGAGGACCAGCAGGAAAUUAAUUGGGUUUGGCCAGCAUGGCAGGAGGUGUUUUUCACAAACAAGUAAACCAACUGAAUUUUAGGGCAGUUUCAGGUCAGGAAGGAGAGAUUUUCUGAGGUCCUUAAAAAGACAGUUUUCAACUCAAUAGCUCCUUUUUGCAGGAGAAGAUAGGCACCUAUGGCUAUUUCCAAGAAAGAGCUUUAACUAUUGCAUAAGGUCAGUAGCACAUUUGAAUCUACUUCUGGCCAAAUCAACACAGAGGUGGUCUGUCAGCACAUGAAAUUAGCUUAUGGAGAGAAAUGUAAUGUGUAGCCAAAUGCAGACAUGGGUAAACUUAACUGUUAAGUGUUUUGAGAAAAAUGAUAAGAAAUCAUAUACAUACCAAUACAGAAAGAAGUCUAAAUUGCUGAAAGUGGAUAUGAGCAAUCUCUAUCACACCAAAUGCAAGAAAAACCUGAGGGACACAACAAAACUUCUAGGAAAAAAGUGCUUGGGGACUGGAAGAAGCUACUCAAUUCUGACUGUAAAGGAACAGUUUAAAUGGGAUCAGAUACAAUUUUUCUAGCUUUAGUUUUUACAGUGGUUUAGGUAUUGUAGAAAACAGAGGGGAAAAAGGACUACACAUACACAAAGUUUCUAAUUACUUGCAUAUACAGACUCAGAAGCUGCUUUUGGCUUGUGGCCUGACGGUAUGCCUGCAUGGGUGGUGAAAGACAGGUAUGAUGAAGCUCAUCCUUCCAUGCAGUUACAGGCAUGCUGUGCUUGAAAAAUUCUGCAGUUGCAACAUCUGAAUCACUCUUUUUUGUUAAGCAAGAGUGGUUUUAUGCCGCUAGAGUGACUAGUGCUGCAGAGUACAGGGAAGUCUCUUGGGCAUUGCUUGCAGAAGCUCACCACCAGUAACACAAUGAGAAAGUACACUCUGACCUAAGAUGCUACACAACAUCCCCUAUGCUCCAAUUUAGGGCAUUUUGAUAUCAUAAGAACCCUUAGAUCUGUUGUAAAGCAUCAGCCACCACUUGUAUUUGAGACACCAGUCUGCUGUUGCUGGGAUGGAUGGCAAGGGAUGUCCAGGAGCAGCUUAGGCUGCAGAUGAUAGGAAAUCUUAACACUGGCUUUGAAGAAAAGGUCAAGUUCCACUCCGAGUCAUACUGUUGUUCAGCCAGUCCUCUCAAUGCCAUCUCUGGAGCAAUCAGAUCUUCCAAGCUACUGAUUGGUGUUAAACCUCCCACAUUCAAACAAGAUAGUAAAGUGGCCCAUGAAGAAAUGCUCCUGUGCACAUAUUUGUCACUGAAAUCUAGGACAGUCCUCAGCAGAGGUUCAGGUUUGGUUGUCAUAUAGAGGGUGCUGGCAGCUCUGUAUUCAUUCUCCUGGGCUUGCCUGCAGUGCUAGCUUCUAGCUCCAGCUAGCCUCUGCCAAACUUCCUCUUUUCAGACCUUAGUGAUAAUUACAGAGCCUCUGAAAUGGAUCCUUUCUGCUUAUAAGAAUGUUUGUUCGGAUGAUAUGGACAAGGAUAGCUGCUUUCUCUGCCUCUAAAGAAGUCAUGUGAAGAGCCCCAGAAGGCUUCAGCCUUCCCCCACUACUUUCUACAUCAAUUCUAAGUCUUUAUGUUUAUUUUCAAGGCUGCCUGUGAAACUGUCCAAGAAUGUAUUAGAAAAGCCUUUUCUUUGCAUGUUGAUAGCACUGUUCUUCUGAACCUUAGGAUAAUGAAAGACAAGGCAUUCUGUAAGCAGGGUCAUGGCUUUACAGAUCACUCUGCUUGAAGAUAUAAAUCUCCUUUCUCUGGCUUUACUGAAGACAGAUCUGAAAACAGCACAGAAAAGACAAGAAGGUGAAAGAAAAAAGAGAUGAAAAGAAAGCACGAUUGAAAAGAGCUAAAACAGUGAGAGAGAGGGAGUGAGGAAAGAAGUAUCUUGAAAAUACAAUUAAAUCAGUUACAAUAAAGAAAAAGGUUUUACCUUUCCUGAGACGUGGGAAAGAAAAUCAGCCCAGUGGGAUGCCAUGCAUUGUUCUGCUCUUAGAUACUCUCUCUAGAGUUUAUGAGCAUAUGGAGAAAGGAAUUCCAUGCAGUACAAAGAGACAUGCUUAUAUAGGUGAUGUGUCUGCUUAUACAGCUUGGCCAGCCUAGCUCUGUGUAGUAC